GAAAUAAAUAUAUACCAUGUUAAUAGUUUAUUAUUAAAUCCUGCUUUAAUGGAAGUGCAGUUCCUGCUAGUUCGCCGGUGGCGCUAUUGCGCACAGAGUCUGUGUAGACUGCAGCAGAGUUAGGGAGAACUGCUGUGGGUGAGUCGGGUUAUGUGUUAGCUCCACACUAAAAUAUAAAAAUAUCAUUUAAAUGAUUGAUUGGAUGCAGCUUUAAAAGUCUAGCACACUUUAUAUACAUUUAUUGAUCGAUAGAGUGCGUUUUCUUUUCAUAUUUGUUUGAUUUUGAUACUUUUAAUCUCAUCUUGAUGUUUUCCCCCAUGUGCUUAUACAGCAAGUGCUAAUGAAGUAUAUGUGUUUUAGAUGUGGAUGCUAAAGUUAAACCGUGUUGAUCUCACUGUUACUGCUCUGUGUGCAGGUAAUUUUCUAUUAUAUUUUGUGUUUCUAUCUUUGUUUUAUAUAGUGAUGAUCUAGACUUUCAAGAUAGACUGCAGCAGAGUUAGGGAGAACUGCUGUGGAUGUGGAUGCUAAAGUUAAACCGUGUUGAUCUCACUGUUACUGCUCUGUGUGCAGGGCAAAAUAAAAUCCUCCUCAUCCGAGUCCAGUGUCUGUGUAUUGCUGAAGGGUGAAUGAAGUGGGUUCGGGAGUGAAGUAUAAAGGUUCACAACUUGCAUCCUACAUCCAGAGUAACGUGUCCAGAGUAAGGGCAACUGUAAGGGGGAUACCGUCUAUGGCAUGGCUGAGGGUCCACUUUGAGCAUCUCAUCCGCAGCAUGAAGCAACACAGGAUGGACAGUCAUCAUCUCUUUCUAUUACAGCGAGCACCAACCAGAUUUAUACAAAGGCUUGCCUUCUGCCCAUUAGUAAAAAUUAAAGAGUACACACACUGUACAUAAUUUAUAUGUUUUUUCCUGCACUGCAGAAAUAUAAAGUUGUCAAUAUAAUAAACAUUAAUUUUCAACAUAAUCAUGUAAACAUAUAUUACAGAACAAUUUGAGUGAACAAUUGCUCUGCACUAAUGUAAAUAUAAAUAACUGUAGAUACUUGCACUGCAGGUGUAAAUAAGCAGGGUAUUAUGUGCAUAGAGAAAUAUGCAAUGCUUACCUCCAUCAAACGUACUGCCUCUGUCUUUUGACAAAAAUCAGGCGGGCAACUACCGUCAGAACCCAAGUGAUGCUCAAGGACUGGUUGUAUUUAAUUACAUUUAAUGUUAGCCUUUUUAAAAAAGACAAGAAUAAUGCAAAAUACAUUUGUUUCAAGUCACAACAAUGUAAUGAAUGGGAUACCACCUCCAACUCAUUUUCAACAAGGAAAACCCUGAAAUAUGUAAAUAUAAGUAACAUUUGCACUGCAGUAAUGUAAAAACAUAACUUUAGACAUUUGCACUGCAGUAUAAAUAUAAAAAGUUUGACACAAUGUUAAACAUUUCCCUUACAGCGAUGUGUAAAAAUACAACAUUAAACAAUUUUUAAGUAA
This is a long non-coding RNA of Danio aesculapii, 1472 nucleotides long. RefSeq lists it as uncharacterized. NCBI's taxonomy places the organism in Eukaryota, Metazoa, Chordata, Actinopteri, Cypriniformes, Danionidae. The record is from RefSeq and is a predicted model, not a curated record. The transcript has 2 exons.